AUUAAACGCUGGCGGCAUGCCUUACACAUGCAAGUCGAACGGCAGCACGGGGGCAACCCUGGUGGCGAGUGGCGGACGGGUGAGUAAAGCAUCGGAACGUAUCCUGGAGUGGGGGAUAACGUAGCGAAAGUUACGCUAAUACCGCAUAUUCUGUGAGCAGGAAAGCAGGGGAUCGCAAGACCUUGCGCUCUGGGAGCGGCCGAUGUCGGAUUAGCUAGUUGGUGGGGUAAGGGCCUACCAAGGCGACGAUCCGUAGCGGGUCUGAGAGGAUGAUCCGCCACACUGGGACUGAGACACGGCCCAGACUCCUACGGGAGGCAGCAGUGGGGAAUUUUGGACAAUGGGCGCAAGCCUGAUCCAGCCAUGCCGCGUGAGUGAAGAAGGCCUCGGUU
RNAcentral lists this ribosomal RNA (392 nucleotides) under uncultured bacterium. RNAcentral describes it as "bacterial SSU rRNA". It matches the Rfam family "Bacterial small subunit ribosomal RNA", at positions 29 to 424 of the family's 1533-position model. The record is from RNAcentral.